GGGCCCGCACAAGCGGUGGAGCAUGUGGUUUAAUUCGAUGAUACGCGAGGAACCUUACCAGGGCUUAAAUGUAGUCUGACAGGGGUGGAAACACCCCCUCCUUCGGGCAGAUUACAAGGUGCUGCAUGGUUGUCGUCAGCUCGUGCCGUGAGGUGUCAGGUUAAGUCCUAUAACGAGCGCAACCCCUGCCGUUAGUUGCCAGCAUGUAAUGAUGGGAACUCUAACGGGACUGCCGGUGCAAACCGCGAGGAAGGUGGGGAUGACGUCAAAUCAUCACGGCCCUUACGUCCUGGGCUACACACGUGCUACAAUGGCCGGUACAGAGGGCAGCCACACCGCAAGGUGGAGCGAAUCCUUAAAACCGGUCUCAGUUCGGAUCGGGGUCUGCAACUCGGCCCCGUG
Molecule: ribosomal RNA, 402 nt
Filed under: uncultured bacterium
Lineage: Bacteria
Description: bacterial SSU rRNA
Rfam family: Bacterial small subunit ribosomal RNA
Source: RNAcentral